CCCACCGCCACCUCCUUCUCCCUCCUUCUUUCCCCCUCUUCAGGUAAGAUUCAGAGAGUAGAAUUUCAGAGGAGAUUCAAGUUCAGAGAAGAGCAGGCCGUCGUCGCCGCCGUUCCCCCUCGUCACCGUCAGCUUCUCCGAGGAGAUCAAGAGCGCAGGGAGGAUUCUGCAUCCUCACCCGUUCCAUUUUCUUCGCUAGGAGGGCAGCUCCCCCUCCCUCGCGUCGCCUCCGCCGUCGUCGUCGCCGGAGCGGAGCGGCAGGAUGUCGCGGGCAGCCUCGCCUCUUCUUCCUUCUUCUCCACGCCCGACCUCGUCUCCGAAUCCCCCUCGGUACAGGUACCCUUGAUGUAGGAGAUCCCGAUGGCAGCCAGUUGAAGUGGGAGUUCGAUGUGGACAGCGGCAGGCUGUAUGUGACUUAACCGGAGGACUAGAGGUCGUGGUCGUGAUUGUGGGCCUAGCAUGCGAGAUAUCAUAGCUUUUGUUGUUUAUCUUGUCUGUAGCCGGACCAUUCCAUGUUCUGAAUAAUGUAUGACUGUAUGACUAUGUACUUUAUCAGAUGGCAAGUGUAUGCCCUA
This is a long non-coding RNA of Hordeum vulgare subsp. vulgare (domesticated barley), 575 nucleotides long. RefSeq lists it as uncharacterized. Lineage: Eukaryota; Viridiplantae; Streptophyta; Magnoliopsida; Poales; Poaceae. The record is from RefSeq and is a predicted model, not a curated record. The transcript is spliced from 2 exons.